AGUGAUUCAGGGGCGGGCUGUACAAGGCCCGGGAACGUAUUCACCGCGGCCUGCUGAUCCGCGAGUACUAGCGAUUCCGCCUUCAUGGAGUCGAGUUGCAGACUCCAAUCUGAACUGAGACCGGUUUUGGGGAUUAGCUCAACCUUGCGGCUUUGCAGCCUUCUGUACCGGCCAUUGUAGUACGUGUGUAGCCCUGGGCGUAAGGGCCAUGAGGACUUGACGUCAUCCCCCAACCUUCCUUCCCAGCUUUAUCCACUGGGCAGUCCUCCUUUUAGAAUUGCCC
RNAcentral lists this ribosomal RNA (283 nucleotides) under uncultured bacterium. RNAcentral's name for it is "partial 16S ribosomal RNA". The record is from RNAcentral.